This 282-nucleotide unclassified non-coding RNA is filed under the name plant metagenome. RNAcentral's name for it is "partial contains small subunit ribosomal RNA, internal transcribed spacer 1, and 5.8S ribosomal RNA". The stretch from base 235 to 282 matches the Rfam family "5.8S ribosomal RNA", at positions 1 to 49 of the family's 154-position model. The record is from RNAcentral.
UUUCCGUAGGUGAACCUGCGGAAGGAUCAUUAUUGUAUAAUCGAGGUGCGAGGGCUGUCGCUGACCCGAAAGGUCGUGCACGCCCGAGUGCCCUCACACACAUCCAUCUCACCCCUAUGUGCACCACCGCGUGGGUCCCCCUUUGGCUUGUUCGGAGGGGGGCUUACGUUUUCACACAAACUUUGUAUGCAGUGUAGAAUGUAUUUUUUGUUUUUGCGAUCACGCAAUCAAUACAACUUUCAACAACGGAUCUCUUGGCUCUCGCAUCGAUGAAAACGCAGC